GAUGAAGAACGUAGCGAAAUGCGAUACUUGGUGUGAAUUGCAGAAUCCCGUGAACCAUCGAGUCUUUGAACGCAAGUUGCGCCCGAAGCCUCGGCUAAGGGCACGUCUGCCUGGGCGUCACGCAUCGCGUCUCCCCCAAACCGCCAAGGCGGAGGGGAAGGAAGAUGGCUUCCCGUGCCUCACCCGGGCGCGGUUGGCCUAAAUUUGGAGCCCGCGGCACUUAGCUCUCGCGGCGAUAGGUGGUGAACAAGGCCUUGGCCGUGCAAACAACCCGCUGCGAAGCUCUAUGUCACGUGCGCUCGUCGGACCCUUUGAAGUUGCCUUCGGUGACUUAAAACCUUUGCGACCCCAGGUCAGGCGGGGCUACCCGCUGAAUUUAAGCAUAUCAAUAAGCGGAAGA
RNAcentral lists this unclassified non-coding RNA (400 nucleotides) under soil metagenome. RNAcentral's name for it is "partial contains 5.8S ribosomal RNA, internal transcribed spacer 2, and large subunit ribosomal RNA". The stretch from base 1 to 120 matches the Rfam family "5.8S ribosomal RNA", at positions 35 to 154 of the family's 154-position model. The record is from RNAcentral.